RNAcentral lists this long non-coding RNA (720 nucleotides) under Panax ginseng (ginseng). RNAcentral's name for it is "long non-coding RNA (PGIN_LNC007575)". The record is from RNAcentral. Lineage: Eukaryota; Viridiplantae; Streptophyta; Magnoliopsida; Apiales; Araliaceae.
UUGCCACUGAAAUUACCCUAUGGCUACUGCAACCGAUAGUCGCUGCUUUGAAUAACUUCCUUCCUAUUGCGCUUAAGGUAAUUCCAAACCUUAAUUUCUCAAAUUUUGCGAAUCGCUCUGUACAUAUGGGUCUCUUAUACUUCAUGGCCCUUGUUGCCCUCUCAUGCUUACAUGCAUAACUUUUGUUGAACUUAGUAUCAGAAGGGUAGUGAGGAACAAUUCAAUUUGACGAUCACAAAAAAGGGCCAUCACAAUCUUUGAGUUCCAAAGGUUAACUUAUUUAGAAUUUUUUAGCUUCUUGAUUAACUUUAUUGAUGUUUAAUUCAGCUUAUAUGUGAAAAUUAUUUUCCUCCUUUUUUAAUUUUUUGUUUUUUUAUGGAUGAUUAAGUAUUGGAUUUUUUACCUGGGUAUUUUUCCUUUUUUACUUGGAUUGGAUUUUGUAGAUUUUUUAGUUGGUUUGAAAAAAAACUCAUCAAUGUUGGUUAAUAAAUGUGUUCUAUCAGCAGUUGGUUUAUUUGGAGUGGUGACUCCUAUUGUGUUAAUUUGAAGUUAGAUUGUGCAUAUAGUUGUUGUAGUUUAUUUUAGAUGAUAUGAUGUGUGUUCUGAAAUAUGAUGAAAUAGUAUGAGAUGAAGAUCCAGAAGCGGUUGAUUGAAGAUGGUGAAUAAUGUCAAUCUAACGAAUCAGGUUCUUUCGACCAAAAACCUCAUUGAAGCCUCNNN